GUCCAGACUCCUACGGGAGGCAGCAGUGGGGGAUAUUGGACAAUGGGGGAAACCCUGAUCCAGCGACGCCGCGUGAGUGAAGAAGUAUUUCGGUAUGUAAAGCUCUGUCAGCAGGGAAGAAAGAAAUGACGGUACCUGACCAAGAAGCCCCGGCUAACUACGUGCCAGCAGCCGCGGUAAUACGUAGGGGGCAAGCGUUAUCCGGAUUUACUGGGUGUAAAGGGAGCGUAGGCGGGCGAGAAAGUUGAAUGUUAAAUCUACCGGCUUAACUGGUAGCUGCGUUCAAAACUUCUUGUCUUGAGUGAAGUAGAGGCAGGCGGAAUUCCUAGUGUAGCGGUGAAAUGCGUAGAUAUACGGAGGAACACCAGUGGCGAAGGCGGAUUGCUGGACAGUAACUGACGCUGAGGCGCGAAAGCGUGGGGAGCAAACAGGAUUAGAUACCCGGGUA
This 448-nucleotide ribosomal RNA is filed under the name uncultured bacterium. Its description in RNAcentral is "bacterial SSU rRNA". It matches the Rfam family "Bacterial small subunit ribosomal RNA", at positions 329 to 792 of the family's 1533-position model. The record is from RNAcentral.